This 251-nucleotide ribosomal RNA is filed under the name uncultured bacterium. RNAcentral's name for it is "partial 16S ribosomal RNA". It matches the Rfam family "Bacterial small subunit ribosomal RNA", at positions 524 to 775 of the family's 1533-position model. The record is from RNAcentral.
UACGGAGGGUGCGAGCGUUAUCCGGAUUUAUUGGGUUUAAAGGGUGCGCAGGCGGCACGGCAAGCCGGCGGUCAAAUCGCGGGGCUCAACCCCGCCCAGCCGUCGGAACUGCCGGGCUAGAGUGGGCGAGAAGUGCGCGGAAUGCGUGGUGUAGCGGUGAAAUGCAUAGAUAUCACGCAGAACUCCGAUUGCGAAGGCAGCGCACCGGCGCCCUACUGACGCUCAGGCACGAAGGCCAGGGGAGCGAAAGG